GACGAACGCUGGCGGCGUGCUUAACACAUGCAAGUCGAACGGAAAGGCCCUGCUUUUGUGGGGUGCUCGAGUGGCGAACGGGUGAGUAACACGUGAGUAACCUGCCCUUGACUUUGGGAUAACUUCAGGAAACUGGGGCUAAUACCGGAUAGGAGCUCCUGCUGCAUGGUGGGGGUUGGAAAGUUUCGGCGGUUGGGGAUGGACUCGCGGCUUAUCAGCUUGUUGGUUGGGUAGUGGCUUACCAAGGCUUUGACGGGUAGCCGGCCUGAGAGGGUGACCGGCCACCUUGGGACUGAGAUACGGACCAGACUCCUACGGGAGGCAGCAGUGGGGAAUAUUGCACAAUGGGCGGAAGCCUGAUGCAGAAACGCCGCGUGCGGGAUGACGGCCUUCGGGUUGUAAACCGCUUUCGCCUGUGACGAAGCGGGAGUGACGGUAAUGGGUAAAGAAGCACCGGCUAACUACGUG
RNAcentral lists this ribosomal RNA (468 nucleotides) under uncultured bacterium. Its description in RNAcentral is "partial 16S ribosomal RNA". It matches the Rfam family "Bacterial small subunit ribosomal RNA", at positions 28 to 507 of the family's 1533-position model. The record is from RNAcentral.